Molecule: long non-coding RNA, 265 nt
Filed under: Elaeis guineensis (African oil palm)
Lineage: Eukaryota; Viridiplantae; Streptophyta; Magnoliopsida; Arecales; Arecaceae
Description: long non-coding RNA (EGUI_LNC067315)
Source: RNAcentral
CACGAAAAAGCCUGAGAUCAACGAGAUAUUUGAGAGAAAAAGAAAAGAGGAUCCAAAAUCCACACGAGAGAUUGUGAAAGAGAUUCAAGAGCUUUCAAAGAGAGGAUCUUUCGAGCCUAUUGUUCAACCUUGAUCUAGAGAUCUUCCAAAGUUUUCAAGAGAUCUUCAAUCAACAAUCAACCUCUUCUCAAGCAUUCGUUCAAGCGUUCAUCCACUUUGAGAAAAUCCGAAAAGGGGUUCUUAAUUUGAGUAAAGUUUUUAUUGU